RNAcentral lists this long non-coding RNA (891 nucleotides) under Homo sapiens (human). RNAcentral describes it as "non-protein coding lnc-SURF4-1:1". Lineage: Eukaryota; Metazoa; Chordata; Mammalia; Primates; Hominidae. The record is from RNAcentral.
GCCUGGCCCUCUGGCUUGGCCACGUACUAGCUGGGUAACCUGGAGCAACUUGUUUCUGUUAGCCUCUGUUUCUUCUUCUGUCAAAUGGGUUAAGAACCCCUCCUGGUCAGGCGUGGUGGCUCACGCCUCUAAUCCCAGCACUUUGGGAGGCCGAGGCGGGCGGAUCACUUAAGGUCAGGAGUUCAACACCAGCCCAGCCAACAUGGUGAAACCCCGUCUCUACUAAAAAUACAAAAAUUAGCCGGGCAUCAUGGCACGCGCCUGUAAUCCUGGCUACUCGGGAGGCUGAGGCAAGAAAAUCUCUUGAACCCGGGAGGCAGAGGUUGCAGUGAGCCAAGAUCACACCAUUACACUCCAGCCUGGGGGACAAGAGCGAGACUUUGUCCAAAAAAAAAAAAAACUCUCCUGACGAUGAGGUUUUUGGGGCUCCUAUGAGACUAUGCACCGAAAGCCCCCAGCAUGGUACCUGGCCCCAGUGAGUGUUAGGUCAGGGGUGGCCACGUUUACAGUCACUGCCAUUGCCACACGAGCUAUUCUGACAGUGGGGGGUGGGCGUGCUCUGGGCUCAGUCUGCUUGGUCCUGCAGCCCACUGCGUGGCGGCUGAGCCCGUAGGUGUCAGCUCUGACCCACCUCCCCAUUCCACGUGAUGAACAGCUCCUGGUACACAGAGAUGUGGGCGUGCCGCAGCUUCAGCAGUGGCAUCAGCUGCCAGGAUAGAGCAGAGGAAACGGAGAAGUCAGUGCCUCUCCACGCCUUUCUCAGCUCGGGCUUCUCUGUCACACAUCCCAACAAACAUGCAAGCCUCGGGCUCUGAGCUGGGCCAGGGAGUGGGCUCAGGGAAGCUGCACGGUGGUUGGGAGCCAGGCAAAUUUUUUUGUAUUUUUGGUUGA